UCCCUUGUGGCUCAGCUGGUAAAGAAUCUGCCUGAAAUGCAGGAGACCUGGGUUCGAUCCCUGGGUUGGGAA
Non-coding RNA from Bos taurus (domestic cattle), 72 nucleotides. The record is from Rfam. NCBI's taxonomy places the organism in Eukaryota, Metazoa, Chordata, Mammalia, Artiodactyla, Bovidae.